UACAGAGACUGCAAGCGUUAUUCGGAUUCACUGGGCGUAAAGGGCGCGCAGGCGGCCAAGUGUGUUAGGCGUGAAAGCCCGGGGCUUAACCCCGGAAUUGCACCUAAAACUACAUGGCUAGAGCAUUGGAGAGGGUAGCGGAAUUCACGGUGUAGCAGUGAAAUGCGUAGAUAUCGUGAGGAACACCAGAGGCGAAGGCGGCUACCUGGACAAUUGCUGACGCUCAGGCACGAAAGCGUGGGGAGCAAAAGGG
RNAcentral lists this ribosomal RNA (253 nucleotides) under uncultured bacterium. RNAcentral's name for it is "partial 16S ribosomal RNA". It matches the Rfam family "Bacterial small subunit ribosomal RNA", at positions 524 to 776 of the family's 1533-position model. The record is from RNAcentral.